This 485-nucleotide ribosomal RNA is filed under the name uncultured bacterium. RNAcentral's name for it is "SSU rRNA". It matches the Rfam family "Bacterial small subunit ribosomal RNA", at positions 26 to 518 of the family's 1533-position model. The record is from RNAcentral.
AGGACGAACGCUGGCGGCGUGCUUAACACAUGCAAGUGGAGCGACGAACCGGGGCUUGCCCCGGGGCAGAGCCGCGAACGGGUGAGUAACACGUGGGUAACCCACCUCGAUGACCGGGACAACCCGAGGAAACUCGGGCUAAUACCGGAUGUGAUCCUCUUUCGUAAGGAAGAUGAUGAAAGAUAGCUUCGGCCUUCGCAUCGAGACGGGCCCGCGGCCCAUUAGCUUGUUGGUGGGGUAACGGCCUACCAAGGCUGCGAUGGGUAGCUGGUCUGAGAGGACGAUCAGCCACACUGGGACUGAGACACGGCCCAGACUCCUACGGGAGGCAGCAGUGGGGAAUCUUGCGCAAUGCGCGAAAGCGUGACGCAGCAACACCGCGUGAGGGAAGACGGCCUUCGGGUUGUAAACCUCUUUCAGCAGGGACGAAGCGCAAGUGACGGUACCUGCAGAAGAAGCGCCGGCCAACUCGUGCCAGCAGCCGC